This 585-nucleotide long non-coding RNA is filed under the name Felis catus (domestic cat). RNAcentral describes it as "lncRNA (ENSFCAG00000048292.1)". The record is from RNAcentral. Lineage: Eukaryota; Metazoa; Chordata; Mammalia; Carnivora; Felidae.
GUUAAAUUCCAGUUAGUUAACAUACAGUAUAAUAUUAGUUUCAGGUGUACAAUAUAGUGAUCCUUUAUAAUAUCAUCAAUUGCAAUUAAGGACACUACAAUCAUCUGUAGGCCUAAGAAGAAAAAUUUUUGAUGGGAGCAAUUACGCCACAUAAAUUUGGAUUGGAACCUGGAACACUCAGCUACCAACUGCUGCUUCCGAAAGCUACUAUAAAUGGAGACUGACUGGCUGGUCCACUUUUCAGUGUUAGCAGUACUGGAAAAUUCAGAUGGAUUACUGAUGCCACCUCUAGAGAUAUACCUGAAUUCAGCUCAAAACAAAAUCACCCUGGUCUGUAAACACUUUAAUAAACUCACUGAAGCUUAAUGACUUCAAUUGUUUUCAUCAUCACAUAUGUCCCUAAAAGCACUCUAAUUUCAUAUGUUUCACAAUUGUAACAAAAAUAAUUGUAUUCCACUUCAGUAUUUUAAAUCUGUGCAAGUAUCAAAAACAAAAACAAGCUAAACAGAAGACGUGCUUAAUAAUAUUUUUAAAAAUUUGAAACUGUGGUCUGUAUCUAGAAAUUUAUCACAAUUUUAUGAUGUG